RNAcentral lists this long non-coding RNA (574 nucleotides) under Mus pahari (shrew mouse). RNAcentral describes it as "lncRNA (MGP_PahariEiJ_G0003922.1)". Lineage: Eukaryota; Metazoa; Chordata; Mammalia; Rodentia; Muridae. The record is from RNAcentral.
AGCCUGAGGAUGUCAGCUACAGAGAAAGGGGUGGAGGCCACAGGACUCCGCAGCAUCUCGUAGCCCAGGGGCGGAGCUGACAAGUUCUCGACCACAGCCCAGGUGUUGCGCACCCAACUUUCCCUUCUGUGGUGGCAGUCCUAAUCGAUUCCAGGAUGCACACUCAAGGACCUGGACGGCGUUUUCCCUUGGCUGAGGCACCCGGACCCGGUGAUAAGAUCGCCGUCUUCCAUUGGUUCCCACGGAAACCACGUGCUAACCCUGAGCCUUCCUACCCAAAAGCUGACAGAAAACAUAACCCUAAGAGAGGCUUUACCCAGAAACAGAUGGAAACAGAUUCAGAGACCCACAGCCAGACAUUAGAACACUUCAGUAGAAUGUGGAAACAGGUAUCAUUGCAAGCAAACCCAGGAGCGUCUCCGGAGGGAGAACGGGAGAAUGGCAGUGGAACCUGUUUGGAGCCUCAUGAGUCUCCUCGCACUUUCAAGCUAAGCCGAAUGCAGCUGCUUGGCGACCAUAUCAUCUGUAUUCCCCCUACAAUUUCACUCAGUGUAUUUCUUAUGCUUAUUCCUAA